AGUUAAAGAGACAUGGGCCAUUUUUCUCUCCAACUGAGUCUAUCCAGACAAAGUGGAUUCUUCAGCCUGUUUUGGAGGCUGUGUUAUAGCAAAACUUCAGCACCCGCUUUAGAAGUUCAGAGUAGAAAAGAUCAUCUUUACCAGACCAUAGAAAAUGCUCCAUCAUGUCAAAACACACAAGCAAACAAACAAGAAGCAGGUCUGAGCCCGUUUCCCAAUGCUGUGAGACUUGGCUACACGAUAUAUGUUACCAGGGAAUAUGUCUUCCUUUGUACUCAGAAGUGACUCUGCUGCCCAAUUUGGUGCCCAGCACUCAACAGCACCUGAAAGAGGGGAUUCUAGAUGUGGCAAAACCCAAGUCAGUGACAAGCUCCCUUUUCGGAGGAAGCACAACUCCAGGCAUUCUGAUCAUUCUGGCAGAUGAUUUGAAGUGAGGAGGAGUCCAGUGAGGUUGUGUUACUGACCAGUCUUAGCCCCUAUUCUGACCCAAUCUCCCACUGCUCUACCAUAACUAUUCUCUUGCUAAGAUGCUAAAUUCCUUUGCUGCUUUCCCCUUCGUUGGGCAAAGGCCCAGUCCUGAUGAAAGGUAACCAACUUCUCCUCCUUUGCUUGUAUCUAAGCAGUAAAUUGUUGUUAAACCUUGUACCCA
This is a long non-coding RNA of Mustela erminea (ermine), 649 nucleotides long. RefSeq lists it as uncharacterized. The transcript is spliced from 3 exons. The record is from RefSeq and is a predicted model, not a curated record. Lineage: Eukaryota; Metazoa; Chordata; Mammalia; Carnivora; Mustelidae.